UGUUGCUCCAAUUUUCUCAGCUGUAAUUAAUUCUACUGCAUCCUUUGUAGUGGAAAUACAGCCAUGAACAGUACGUAUUGACUUACUUUUGAAGAUGAUGCUGUAUUGACCUGGGUCUGGACACAUUUGUUCCGUAGAAUGAUUGGAAGCUUAUAUUUACCAGGAUUUAUAGUGUCAUAUUCAAAAUCUUGUUUACUAACUUAUAAUUCAAUUUGUUGGCCAGGCUAGGCAAUCACUUAUUGUAAGAUGUCUCUUUCCCAUACUUGCCGAUCCUCGACAUCCUGCCGAAUCAACUAGUGCCUCAAACGAAUCUAUUCUAAAGGUUGCCCUUGAUCAUGGAAAAACUGCUGGGGUUAUAAAGUCGCACGAUCGUGUAGUUGUUUGCCAGAAAGUUGGUGAUUCAUCUGUGGUUAAGAUUAUCGAGCUUGAAGAUUAAGUGUUGCAUUGAUCUAACUACAGUACAAGCAUUUUGUUUUUUGGUCUACUAAGAUUUUGGCAGUGGCAGAUCAUUCAGCUUCCACUUUUUGAGUUGUCUCCACCGGGUUUGAUGACUAGUUUAUAUUUUUGUGAUUGAAGCUGAAUGUUAGAAUAGUUAUAUGAUAGUCUGUCAUAGUUAAAAAUAAGAGGAAAUAUGCCCUGAUGCCAAAUAUUUUUUAUCAAAGUUUUACUCAAGGACAAUUUGAAAGGAAGAGUAGUCGUCUUACUGUUGUCAGCUGUAUGAAUGAGUCUAAUCAUGAACUAUUUUACCCC
This is a non-coding RNA of Vigna umbellata (rice bean), 750 nucleotides long. NCBI's taxonomy places the organism in Eukaryota, Viridiplantae, Streptophyta, Magnoliopsida, Fabales, Fabaceae. The record is from RefSeq and is a predicted model, not a curated record.